CGGUGGUAGAUAGCGGUGGGGAAACGCCCGGUCCCAUUCCGAACCCGGAAGCUAAGCCCGCCCGCGCUGAUGGUACUGCAUCCGGGAGGAUGUGGGAGAGUAAGACACCGCCGACCU
This 117-nucleotide ribosomal RNA is filed under the name Corynebacterium cystitidis. Lineage: Bacteria; Bacillati; Actinomycetota; Actinomycetes; Mycobacteriales; Corynebacteriaceae. The record is from RNAcentral. RNAcentral also lists the same sequence under 1 other name.